UACGGAGGAGGCAAGCGUUAUCCGGAAUUAUUGGGCGUAAAGCGCACGUAGGCGGUUUGUUAAGUCGGAUGUGAAAUCCCUCGGCUCAACUGAGGAAGUGCAUCCGAAACUGGCAAGCUUGAGUACGAAAGAGGGUCGCGGAAUUCCCGGUGUAGAGGUGAAAUUCGUAGAUAUCGGGAGGAACACCGGUGGCGAAGGCGGCGACCUGGGUCGAUACUGACGCUGAGGUGCGAAAGCGUGGGGAGCAAACAGG
This 253-nucleotide ribosomal RNA is filed under the name uncultured bacterium. RNAcentral describes it as "partial 16S ribosomal RNA". It matches the Rfam family "Bacterial small subunit ribosomal RNA", at positions 524 to 776 of the family's 1533-position model. The record is from RNAcentral.